UUGUCUAGAGAGACUAACACUCAUACUGAAACUAGAAGGACGCAGAGAAGGUUAGCAUCUCCUCUGCACAAAGAUGACAAGCAAAUUCACGAAGUGUUCCAUAUUUUU
Molecule: small nuclear RNA, 108 nt
Filed under: Procavia capensis (Cape rock hyrax)
Lineage: Eukaryota; Metazoa; Chordata; Mammalia; Hyracoidea; Procaviidae
Source: RNAcentral